CAUGAAGACUUACACUGAUUGAUUUUAAAUGUGAUCAAAUCAAUGUACCCAUUUUUUUUAAACGUUACAUUUUGAGUUAAAACACACUUCUUUUAAAGAUAAACAAUGAUGUAUUGAAUGAAUCAUACCCAAAAUUCAUAAUAGUUGAAAAGUUCUUUUGAUAUCUUAAUACUUAGUUUUGAUUCCUGUUUUACAAACUUGUAUUUUCUGAGAGAAAGACAAGAGUCUUGAUUGAAACAUUUGCUUAUUAAAGUGUCCUGGUUUAGCUCAAGUUGGAAAUGUAUAAGUGCUUGUGAAUUAUUGUUUGAUUAAUCUCUUUGUUUUAAAGGUGAUAC
This 335-nucleotide long non-coding RNA is filed under the name Bos taurus (domestic cattle). Its description in RNAcentral is "long non-coding RNA NONBTAT000100". The record is from RNAcentral. Lineage: Eukaryota; Metazoa; Chordata; Mammalia; Artiodactyla; Bovidae.